GGUGUAAAAUAUAUUACUACCUUCGUCUCAAAAUAUAACAACUUUUAGUUCGAUGUCACAUAUCCUAGUACUACGAAUCUGGACAGGUCACUAGGAUAUAUCACAUCCACCAAAAAAUUGCUACAGUUUUGGACGGAGGGAGUAAUAUUGAUUACUUGUG
Molecule: unclassified non-coding RNA, 160 nt
Filed under: Oryza sativa (Asian cultivated rice)
Lineage: Eukaryota; Viridiplantae; Streptophyta; Magnoliopsida; Poales; Poaceae
Description: partial microRNA MIR486g precursor
Source: RNAcentral